This is a long non-coding RNA of Zingiber officinale, 485 nucleotides long. RefSeq lists it as uncharacterized. The record is from RefSeq and is a predicted model, not a curated record. NCBI's taxonomy places the organism in Eukaryota, Viridiplantae, Streptophyta, Magnoliopsida, Zingiberales, Zingiberaceae. The transcript has 3 exons.
UGGAAACAUUUCCAACGAAUCUGCCAAUUCGUUGGAAAUCUCCAACGAAUUGUGGAUUCGUUGCGAAUAUCCAACAAAUAAUAUUUUUGAUGGAAAUUUGUUGGAAGAUCCCUAAUUACAUAUCCUUACCCGACCCAAUUUCUUCUCCUCACAUCUUCUCUUGACCUAAUUUUCCUUACGGCAGCUGCGGCAAUUUUUUCACCUUCUCUGGACUGGUUUGGAUUUGACGUGGCUGGGAGAGACUUUCGAUUUUAUUUACCUUUGUUAGGCAACAUGCAGAAUGAAAGAAGUUGGAUGUAUAAUAAAAAUUUACCUGACCGUGGGGGUUUAACUGAUGAGUUUAUUACUGGGUUGAGACAGUUUUUAAAUUUUGCAUCUAGUAAUGUUGAGUUUAUGGAUGGUAAUCAGAUACGAUGUCCAUGCAGAAAGUGUCAUAAUGGAAAAUUUUUACCAUCUAAUAAAGUUUCAGAGCAUCUUUGUAGAUU